This 458-nucleotide ribosomal RNA is filed under the name uncultured bacterium. RNAcentral describes it as "partial 16S ribosomal RNA". It matches the Rfam family "Bacterial small subunit ribosomal RNA", at positions 338 to 795 of the family's 1533-position model. The record is from RNAcentral.
CCUAGGGGCGGCAGCAGUGAGGAAUAUUGGUCAAUGGCCGGAAGGCUGAACCAGCCAUGCCGCGUGAAGGUCAGUGCCCUAUGGGCGUUAAACUUCUUUUGUGCGGGAGCAAUAAUGGUCACGUGUGGCCAGACGAGAGUGCCGUACGAAUAAGCAUCGGCUAACUCCGGGCCAGCAGCCGCGGUAAUACGGAGGAUGAGAGCGUUAUCCGGAUUUAUUGGGUUUAAAGGGUGCGUAGGGGGACUGUUAAGUCAGCGGUAAAAGCCCGGGGCUAAACCCCGGAGAGCCGUUGAAACUGGCUAUGUUGAGAGGUCGAGAGGUAUGCGGAAUGCGCAGUGUAGCGGUGAAAUGCUUAGAUAUUGCGAAGAACUCCGAUUGCGAAGGCAGCAUACCGGCGGCGAUCUGACGCUGAGGCACGAAAGCGUGGGUAUCGAACAGGAUUAGAUACCCGGGUAGUC